RNAcentral lists this long non-coding RNA (231 nucleotides) under Marmota monax (woodchuck). The record is from RNAcentral. Lineage: Eukaryota; Metazoa; Chordata; Mammalia; Rodentia; Sciuridae.
CACCAGACCAGAUGACUUGACCUCAGAACAAAAGAUGUCACUGAGAAACCUGGUAAGAGCUGAUAGGGUUUGGAAGGGCGGUCAGAAGCCCCAAAAUUUAGUGUAAAUGAUGGAGCAAAUGAACAGACAUUCAGCCAACCUACACAGAUACCCACAUGCCAGAGAGCCUGAUGAGGACCUGGACUGAUACCCCAACUCUUCUCAUCAUUUGCCUGAUCCUCUGCAUCUUCC